This 505-nucleotide ribosomal RNA is filed under the name uncultured bacterium. Its description in RNAcentral is "partial 16S ribosomal RNA". It matches the Rfam family "Bacterial small subunit ribosomal RNA", at positions 28 to 507 of the family's 1533-position model. The record is from RNAcentral.
GACGAACGCUGGCGGCGUGCCUAAUACAUGCAAGUAGAACGCACAGUUUAUACCGUAGCUUGCUACACCAUAAACUGUGAGUUGCGGACGGGUGAGUAACGCGUAGGUAACCUGCCUGGUAGCGGGGGAUAACUAUUGGAAACGAUAGCUAAUACCGCAUAAUAUUGAUUAUUGCAUGAUAAUUGAUUGAAAGAUGCUAUUGCAUCACUACCAGAUGGACCUGCGUUGUAUUAGCUAGUAGGUGAGGUAACGGCUCACCCAGGCGACGAUACAUAGCCGACCUGAGAGGGUGAUCGGCCACACUGGGACUGAGACACGGCCCAGACUCCUACGGGAGGCAGCAGUAGGGAAUCUUCGGCAAUAGACGAAAGUCUGACCGAGCAACGCCGCGUGAGUGAAGAAGGUUUUCGGAUCGUAAAGCUCUGUUGUAAGAGAAGAACGGGUGUGAGAGUGGAAAGUUCACACUGUGACGGUAUCUUACCAGAAAGGGACGGCUAACUACGUG